GGGGAAUAUUGGGCAAUGGACGCAAGUCUGACCCAGCAACGCCGCGUGAAGGAAGAAGGCUUUCGGGUUGUAAACUUCUUUUAAGGGGGAAGAGUAGAAGACGGUACCCCUUGAAUAAGCCACGGCUAACUACGUGCCAGCAGCCGCGGUAAUACGUAGGUGGCAAGCGUUGUCCGGAUUUACUGGGUGUAAAGGGCGUGUAGCCGGGAAGGCAAGUCAGAUGUGAAAUUCUGGAGGCUCAACCUCCAAACUGCAUUUGAAACUGCGGGGCUUGAGUGGAGCAGAGGCAGGCGGAAUGCCCGGUGUAGCGGUGAAAUGCGUAGAGAUCGGGAGGAACACCAGUGGCGAAGGCGGCCUGCUGGGCUUUAACUGACGCUGAAGCACGAAAGCAUGGGUAGCAAACA
Molecule: ribosomal RNA, 404 nt
Filed under: uncultured Oscillibacter sp.
Lineage: Bacteria; Bacillati; Bacillota; Clostridia; Eubacteriales; Oscillospiraceae
Description: bacterial SSU rRNA
Rfam family: Bacterial small subunit ribosomal RNA
Source: RNAcentral